This 416-nucleotide ribosomal RNA is filed under the name Naja naja (Indian cobra). RNAcentral's name for it is "partial 16S ribosomal RNA". It matches the Rfam family "Bacterial large subunit ribosomal RNA", at positions 1968 to 2594 of the family's 2925-position model. Lineage: Eukaryota; Metazoa; Chordata; Lepidosauria; Squamata; Elapidae. The record is from RNAcentral.
CUUGUCUAUUAAUUGUAGACCUGUAUGAAAGGCAAAACGAGGGUCUAUCUGUCUCUUGUAGUAAAUCAAUUAAACUGAUCUCCCAGUUCAAAAGCUGGAAUACCAACAUAAGACCAGAAGACCCUGUGAAGCUUAAAUUAAACUAUUAAACCCAAUAAUAGCUCCUUUCGGUUGGGGCGACCUUGGAAAAAAAAAGAACUUCCAAAUACACUGACCCUACAGUCAUCCACUUCUAGGCCAACAAGCCUAUCAACGACCCAGUACAGCUGAUAAUUGAACCAAGUUACUCCAGGGAUAACAGCGCUAUCUUCUUCAAGAGUCCAUAUCAAAAGGAAGGUUUACGACCUCGAUGUUGGAUCAGGACAUCCUAAUGGUGUAGCCGCUAUUAAGGGUUCGUUUGUUCAACGAUUAACAGU